AGUCGAGCGGCAGCGGAGAGUAGCUUGCUACUUUGCCGGCGAGCGGCGGACGGGUGAGUAAUGUCUGGGAAACUGCCUGAUGGAGGGGGAUAACUACUGGAAACGGUAGCUAAUACCGCAUGACCUCGAAAGAGCAAAGUGGGGGAUCUUCGGACCUCACGCCAUCGGAUGUGCCCAGAUGGGAUUAGCUAGUAGGUGAGGUAAUGGCUCACCUAGGCGACGAUCCCUAGCUGGUCUGAGAGGAUGACCAGCCACACUGGAACUGAGACACGGUCCAGACUCCUACGGGAGGCAGCAGUGGGGAAUAUUGCACAAUGGGCGCAAGCCUGAUGCAGCCAUGCCGCGUGUGUGAAGAAGGCCUUAGGGUUGUAAAGCACUUUCAGCGAGGAGGAAGGCAUCACACUUAAUACGUGUGGUGAUUGACGUUACUCGCAGAAGAAGCACCGGCUAACUCCGUGCCAGCAGCCGCGGUAAUACGGAGGGUGCAAGCGUUAAUCGGAAUUACUGGGCGUAAAGCGCACGCAGGCGGUUUGUUAAGUCAGAUGUGAAAUCCCCGCGCUUAACGUGGGAACUGCAUUUGAAACUGGCAAGCUAGAGUCUUGUAGAGGGGGGUAGAAUUCCAGGUGUAGCGGUGAAAUGCGUAGAGAUCUGGAGGAAUACC
This 661-nucleotide ribosomal RNA is filed under the name uncultured bacterium. RNAcentral's name for it is "bacterial SSU rRNA". It matches the Rfam family "Bacterial small subunit ribosomal RNA", at positions 60 to 710 of the family's 1533-position model. The record is from RNAcentral.